AAAAGACGUGGGCUUUUAUUUGUGAGGCGCACUAUAUAUAAAAAUAUUACAUUAAAAAGAGAAAGCAUAGUUGAAGUGGAAAUAUGGAAAAAAAGACUCCAAAAACAAGAAAUUUUGCAUUUAGGCUUUGAUUCUUUUAGUUAAUAAAGAAGGAAAACCUUUAAUUGUUACUAUUUUUUAAAAAUAAUGAAAAAGUCCUAUGGCCCAGGGCUUUGAGCCUUGGGGCUUCACAAAAAUUGCGUGCCUGAGGUGUGCCUUAUUUUGUGAGCCUCGCCUUUCCAAGGCGAGGUGCCAAACCUGCGCCUUGAGCCUAGGCACGCCUAGGUGUGCGCCCAAG
This 337-nucleotide unclassified non-coding RNA is filed under the name Hevea brasiliensis (rubber tree). Lineage: Eukaryota; Viridiplantae; Streptophyta; Magnoliopsida; Malpighiales; Euphorbiaceae. The record is from RNAcentral.